GAUGAAGAACGGUAGUGAAAUGCGAUAAUUAAUGUGAAUUGCAGAAUUCAGUGAAUCAUCGAGUCUUUGAACGCACAUUGCGCCCCCUGGUAUUCCGGGGGGCAUGCCUGUCCGAGCGUCAUUGCUGCCCUCAAGCACGGCUUGUGUGUUGGGCUUCCGUCCCUGGCAACGGGGACGGGCCCAAAAGGCAGUGGCGGCACCAUGUCUGGUCCUCGAGCGUAUGGGGCUUUGUCACCCGCUCCCGUAGGUCCAGCUGGCAGCUAGCCUCGCAACCAAUCUUUUUAACCAGGUUGACCUCGGAUCAGGUAGGGAUACCCGCUGAACUUAAGCAUAUCAAUAAGCGGAGGA
Molecule: unclassified non-coding RNA, 348 nt
Filed under: soil metagenome
Description: partial contains 5.8S ribosomal RNA, internal transcribed spacer 2, and large subunit ribosomal RNA
Rfam family: 5.8S ribosomal RNA (bases 1-121)
Source: RNAcentral